Molecule: small nuclear RNA, 195 nt
Organism: Glarea lozoyensis ATCC 20868
Lineage: Eukaryota; Fungi; Ascomycota; Leotiomycetes; Helotiales; Helotiaceae
Rfam family: U2 spliceosomal RNA
About the family: U2 is a small nuclear RNA (snRNA) component of the spliceosome (involved in pre-mRNA splicing).
Source: Rfam
AGCUCUUCUUUGCCAUCAGGCUGAGAUCAUGUGUAGUAUCUGUUCUUACCACUUUGAUCGGUGGUGCAGGUGGUUACGGCCAUCCUCCCGAUUACAAUUUUUGUACCAAGGUGGUUGAAGCUCAGGUUUUCCCUGGGUUUCAUCUUCCUACUGUGUUCUCAGACUUACACUACCUCUGAGUAACGCGAAUUUUUG